RNAcentral lists this long non-coding RNA (406 nucleotides) under Physcomitrium patens. RNAcentral describes it as "long non-coding RNA (PPAT_LNC007772)". The record is from RNAcentral. Lineage: Eukaryota; Viridiplantae; Streptophyta; Bryopsida; Funariales; Funariaceae.
AUUAGGUCAAAAUUAAUAUCGAAGAUACAUGAUCCAAAAAUCUACCCAUGUUAGAAUUUAAUUACAACAAUAACAUAUUUGGAUGCAUACGCUUCUGAAGUUCCACAAGAUUAGAAUAUUAGCACGUAGCCCAAUACUAUCGUUCAGAGUUUAUAAAUAUUUUUUUAUUUUUUUAUUUGUGUUAAUCGGAUUUUGAAAAAGAACUAAUUAAUAAGAAAAUGGAUUUGAGAGUCAAAUCUAAAUAUUUGCAGUAUGUAUAUUUUUCUAUUCGUGUGUGUGCCUUUCUUCACUUGCAUGACACGGAUGCUUAUGAAGAAAGGGCUGCAUGACCGGGCCGGGCAGGGUAGGGAACCGACCCGCGCCGCCUCAACCCGUCGUGUGGUGCAUCGCAUCGCCCGCCAGCGAC